This 486-nucleotide ribosomal RNA is filed under the name uncultured bacterium. Its description in RNAcentral is "partial 16S ribosomal RNA". It matches the Rfam family "Bacterial small subunit ribosomal RNA", at positions 30 to 507 of the family's 1533-position model. The record is from RNAcentral.
AUUGAACGCUGGCGGCAUGCCUUACACAUGCAAGUCGAACGGCAGCACGGGUGCUUGCACCUGGUGGCGAGUGGCGAACGGGUGAGUAAUACAUCGGAACAUGUCCUGUAGUGGGGGAUAGCCCGGCGAAAGCCGGAUUAAUACCGCAUACGAUCUACGGAUCAAAGCGGGGGACCUUCGGGCCUCGCGCUAUAGGGUUGGCCGAUGGCUGAUUAGCUAGUUGGUGGGGUAAAGGCCUACCAAGGCGACGAUCAGUAGCUGGUCUGAGAGGACGACCAGCCACACUGGGACUGAGACACGGCCCAGACUCCUACGGGAGGCAGCAGUGGGGAAUUUUGGACAAUGGGCGAAAGCCUGAUCCAGCAAUGCCGCGUGUGUGAAGAAGGCCUUCGGGUUGUAAAGCACUUUUGUCCGGAAAGAAAUCCUUGGCUCUAAUACAGUCGGGGGAUGACGGUACCGGAAGAAUAAGCACCGGCUAACUACGUG